RNAcentral lists this ribosomal RNA (456 nucleotides) under uncultured bacterium. RNAcentral's name for it is "bacterial SSU rRNA". It matches the Rfam family "Bacterial small subunit ribosomal RNA", at positions 32 to 507 of the family's 1533-position model. The record is from RNAcentral.
GACGCUGGCGGUGUGCCUCAUACAUGCAAGUCGAACGAGAAGAAAGAGCUUGCUCUUUCGGAAAGUGGCGGACGGGUGAGUACAACAUAGGAAAUCUGCCUUUAGGUGGGGGACAACAGAGGGAAACUUCUGCUAAUACCCCAUAUGAGCUAGCCUGAAAUGGCUAUCUUGAAAGUUCCGGCGCCUAAAGAUGAGCCUGUGCCUGAUUAGCUAGUUGGUGGUGUAAUGGACUACCAAGGCGACGAUCAGUAGCUGGUUUGAGAGGAUGAUCAGCCACAAUGGGACUGAGACACGGCCCAUACUCCUACGGGAGGCAGCAGUAGGGAAUUUUGCGCAAUGGGCGAAAGCCUGACGCAGCAACACCGCGUGAAUGUUAAGCCCUUCGGGGUGUAAAGUUCUGUCAGUAGGGAAGAACAAAUGACUGUACCUACAAAGGAAGCACCGGCUAACUCCGUG